ACUUUCUUUCUUUCUACUCUCUCACAAGAUCACAAACCCUAACCUCAUUCAUCACCGUACCCGCCGCAUCGUCGUCUUCAGAUCCCUCGCCGCCGUCUCCAAACCGCAGAGGUAUAUCUCUCUCUCUUUAUCUCAAUUUCUAUCUUCUGUUCUUUCUACGUAUUUCGCGAUUUUAACCUAAUUACUUACACUUCAUUGAUUUCACUCUUUAUUCGCAUUACGCAAUUUUCGAUUAUCACGCAUUAAAACUGAAUCUUCUCUACUGGACUUUUUGUUAUUUUUGGUGUAUUUAUUUUUGGAUUUUUACAUUAUAUUUGGUUAAUGAAAGAAAGUAAACCGAAAGAUAGUAGAAGGAAAGAAAGAGUAGAAAAUGCAAUGAAAAUAAAGAAAAUGAGAUAAUAUAGCUGUGAAACGAGUUAAUUACUUUUUAAUAAAAUAUUUUAAUGUUUUAAAUUUCUAUAAAAUAAAUCUAACAUUUCAACAAUUAUUUUGUUGAAGAAAUAAUGUAAUUUAAAAUUUUCAUUUCUAGUGUCAUUUGCUAUUUGAUUAACUAAAUUAAUGUUAAAUAUUAAUUUAAUUUUCUUUUUUUUAAUAAAAUUAAUUUUAUUUUCAAUUGAACAAACUUUAUAAUUUAUAAACUUAAUUCCUUUUAUUUAUAUUGAAUUUUAUUUCCUUUUUUAUAGUGAAAAUUCAAUUUUUUUAUUUCAUAUUUUUUAUGCAUAUAUCUUUAAUUUUUUAUUUCAUAUUUUUGAAGCAUAAUGGGUUUACUGUGGUGGCGGAAGGGAAAGAAUUCUCAACCGGAAACGAAGUCGGAGAACACGAAGAUUGGUGGUGUAACGGCGGCGGGGAUGAACGGUGCGGUGGAAGUUCCUCGACCUCAAAACGCGAGUAUAUCCAUUUUCGAGUUUGGUUCGGUUGCUGCUUCUACUGAUAAGGUUACACUUGCUGGUUAUUNNNNNNNNNNNNNNNNNNNNNNNNNNAAAAAAAAAAAAACUAAAUUAAAAAUAUUAAUAAAACAUUUUGUUAAACUCACUUGAAUUGGUGUAUUGGUAUUGGUUGGGACCUGAGAGUGUAGUCCUCUUGAGGUAUGAGGUUCGAUUCUCUCUGGUGCCAAUUUGGGUGGGGUAAUUUAGCUUCUUAAAAAAAAACAUUUUGUUAAAAAAUAAAAGUUUAGUAAAAAAAAAACUGUUAAAUAAAAUAUUAUGCGCAAAAAUAUAUAAUAGUAAAUCUUACUCCUACCUGAGCUUAUAUACAAGUAUUUAGUAAAAAAACACCCAUGCUAUUUUAUAAGUUUUCACUAGUGAAAAUUAUAAUUUUAUAAUCUAUUUUAUCAUAAAUUACAUUGACAAACUUAUAAUAAUAUAUAAAAUUUGCAUAAGCUUUAAAAAAAGCUGAGCCAAACGAGUCCCUGAAAGGUUAAUAAGCUAAAAUAUUAUAGCUUAUUUACUAACUUAUAGCUUAUUUUUUAAAUACUAUUUCAAGUAGCUUAUAAGAUUAUAACUUAUAGCUUUAUCAUUUUUUCUUCCAAUUUUAUCCUUAUCAUCUUACUUAAAAAAAUUUAAAUAUUAAUUAAAUAUAUAUCUUUUAAGUCAUUUCAUAGGUACAAAUUAGUUCGACCGCUAAUUUUACAUCAAUAUAAGGUAUCUUUUACCGAGCCUUGCUAAAAUAAAAUAAAAUUGGUGUUACACAAAUUCAAGUUUCAACCAUUCACAUCACAUCACCCACACAGAUUGGUAAGGUUUUCGGUCUUUUCACUGUUUCUCUCUUUCUUUCACUCAUCUUUUCCGCUGGCGCUUAGUUUCUUUCUUUAUUUCUACUCUCACAAAGAUCACAAACCCUAACCUCAUUCAUCACCGUACCCGCCGCAUCGUCGUCUUCAGAUCCCUCGCCGCCGUCUCCAAACCGCAGAGGUAUAUCUCUCUCUCUUUAUCUCAAUUUCUAUCUUCUGUUCUUUCUACGUAUUUCGCGAUUUUAACCUAAUUACUUACACUUCAUUGAUUUCAC
Molecule: long non-coding RNA, 2004 nt
Filed under: Trifolium pratense (red clover)
Lineage: Eukaryota; Viridiplantae; Streptophyta; Magnoliopsida; Fabales; Fabaceae
Description: long non-coding RNA (TPRA_LNC002825)
Source: RNAcentral